This 373-nucleotide ribosomal RNA is filed under the name uncultured organism. Its description in RNAcentral is "partial 16S ribosomal RNA". It matches the Rfam family "Bacterial small subunit ribosomal RNA", at positions 527 to 896 of the family's 1533-position model. The record is from RNAcentral.
GUAGGUGGCAAGCGUUGUCCGGAAUUAUUGGGCGUAAAGCGCGCGCAGGCGGUUCUUUAAGUCUGAUGUGAAAGCCCACGGCUCAACCGUGGAGGGUCAUUGGAAACUGGAGAACUGGAGUACAGAAGAGGAAAGCGGAAUUCCACGUGUAGCGGUGAAAUGCGUAGAGAUGUGGAGGAACACCAGUGGCGAAGGCGGCUUUCUGGUCUGUAACCGACGCUGAGGCGCGAAAGCGUGGGGAGCAAACAGGGAUUAGAUACCCUGGUAGUCCACGCCGUAAACGAUGAGUGCUAAGUGUUAGGGGGGUUUCCGCCCCCUUAGUGCUGCAGCUAACGCAUUAAGCACUCCGCCUGGGGAUACGGCCGCAAGGCUG